AACGAACGCUGGCGGCAGGCUUAACACAUGCAAGUCGAACGCAUGCCUUCGGGCAUGAGUGGCAGACGGGUGAGUAACGCGUGGGAACCUACCCCUUGGUACGGGAUAGCUCCGGGAAACUGGAGAUAAUACCGUAUGUGUCCUGAGGGACAAAGAUUCAUCGCCAAGGGAUGGGCCCGCGUCGGAUUAGCUAGUUGGUGGGGUAACGGCCUACCAAGGCGACGAUCCGUAGCUGGUCUAAGAGGAUGAUCAGCCACAUUGGGACUGAGACACGGCCCAAACUCCUACGGGAGGCAGCAGUGGGGAAUAUUGGACAAUGGGCGCAAGCCUGAUCCAGCCAUGCCGCGUGAGUGAUGAAGGCCCUAGGGUUGUAAAGCUCUUUCACCGGUGACGAUAAUGACGGUAACCGGAGAAGAAGCCCCGGCUAACUUCGU
RNAcentral lists this ribosomal RNA (434 nucleotides) under uncultured bacterium. RNAcentral's name for it is "partial 16S ribosomal RNA". It matches the Rfam family "Bacterial small subunit ribosomal RNA", at positions 29 to 506 of the family's 1533-position model. The record is from RNAcentral.